RNAcentral lists this ribosomal RNA (497 nucleotides) under uncultured bacterium. Its description in RNAcentral is "partial 16S ribosomal RNA". It matches the Rfam family "Bacterial small subunit ribosomal RNA", at positions 28 to 507 of the family's 1533-position model. The record is from RNAcentral.
GACGAACGCUGGCGGCGUGCCUAAUACAUGCAAGUUGAGCGCUGAAGGUUGGUACUUGUACCAACUGGAUGAGCAGCGAACAGGUGAGUAACGCGUGGGGAAUCUGCCUUUGAGCGGGGGACAACAUUUGGAAACGAAUGCUAAUACCGCAUAAAAACUUUAAACACAAGUUUUAAGUUUGAAAGAUGCAAUUGCAUCACUCAAAGAUGAUCCCGCGUUGUAUUAGCUAGUUGGUGAGGUAAAGGCUCACCAAGGCGAUGAUACAUAGCCGACCUGAGAGGGUGAUCGGCCACAUUGGGACUGGGACACGGCCCAAACUCCUACGGGAGGCAGCAGUAGGGAAUCUUCGGCCAUGGACGAAAGUCUGACCGAGCAACGCCGCGUGAGUGAAGAAGGUUUUCGGAUCGUAAAACUCUGUUGGUAGAGAAGAACGUUGGUGAGAGUGGAAAGCUCAUCAAGUGACGGUAACUACCCAGAAAGGGACGGCUAACUACGUG